GUCGAAGUGGCCGAGAGGUUUAAGGCGCCAGACUCUACGAUGUUAAAGUGGGUUUGAAUCCCACCUCCAACA
RNAcentral lists this transfer RNA (72 nucleotides) under Schistosoma margrebowiei. It matches the Rfam family "tRNA". From Rfam's summary of the family: Transfer RNA (tRNA) molecules are approximately 80 nucleotides in length. Their secondary structure includes four short double-helical elements and three loops (D, anti-codon, and T loops). Further hydrogen bonds mediate the characteristic L-shaped molecular structure. tRNAs have two regions of fundamental functional importance: the anti-codon, which is responsible for specific mRNA codon recognition, and the 3' end, to which the tRNAs corresponding amino acid is attached (by aminoacyl-tRNA synthetases). tRNAs cope with the degeneracy of the genetic code in two manners: having more than one tRNA (with a specific anti-codon) for a particular amino acid; and 'wobble' base-pairing, i.e. permitting non-standard base-pairing at the 3rd anti-codon position. Lineage: Eukaryota; Metazoa; Platyhelminthes; Trematoda; Strigeidida; Schistosomatidae. The record is from Rfam by way of RNAcentral.